GUUAUUACCGCUGUGGUUUCUAUGUGUUCGAUACUGAUAUUGGUCUUUCCCACAUGCGCUCUUUUCACAAGGUUUCAUAUUUUUCACAGCAUCCGCUCACCCUAUGGGCACCCGCACCGGUGGGCUUGGCCCUUCUAUCUCCUCCAACCGCAGUUUUAAGAAGCAUAUUAACAAUGCACAAGGAGGAGGCAAGGCAAGUGUCGCCACUGUAAACACUAGGAUUCCAGUAUUGCUUCUGCGCAACACGACGUUGUACAAAAUAGAGCCCAUGUACAUCCCCAAUUACAUGGAGGUUCUGACACGCCCGUUGCAAGCAUGCUUCCCGGACAGCUGAAGCUUCAGCCUCUCAGAAAAGAUCCCGAACUUUUCCAAAGGCUCCGACUUCUCAGAGAAGCUCCCGAACUGUUCCAAAGCUGCCAGUAACAAUUUUCCCAGUACACAUGCCCUCGAUGCAGCUCACGCUACUGUUCCCUGCACCGCUACAAGGACAGGGAGGAAGACAAGGAGUUGGACCCUAGAUGUGCUCUCCUUCGUCCAUCAUGCGUCUGCAUGUCCUCAUCACAAGAUAAGUACCAUCUUUAUACUUGAUUUUCUACUGUUUUGUUUGGUUUUGAUUCUCUCUGCCAUUCUCACUCCACUCUCUCCGUCUCUCACUCAGUUCGAAGCUCUUCAACUUUUUUGCACAAGCUCUCAAACAUCUCAGAUCCCUCACUCACUCUUCAACUUUUUCGCACAAGCUCUCAAACAUCUCAGAUCCCUCACUCACCCUUCGAUCUUCAACUUUUUACCAUAAAUUAAUUUAAUUUCUAUUGCAGCAAAUCUGGUCAUUUUCUAUGUAAGUUUCCCCUCAUGGUUCAGUUCUGGCAUUCCCCUCAAAACAUCAUUUGUGUCAUUUCCUCUUUUUCUGUGUUCAGCUUACAUACCUUACAUAUAUAUUGGAGACUAUGACGAUAAAAGAUGUCAGUUGAAUGUAUAUAAAAGCCAAGCUGCUUAUCUUAUAGACCUCAUGCACUCAUGUGUCCCUUUGUUCAUUCAUGAUUGUUUUGAAUUUAUUCAGGUUAAAUGCGUUUUAUUCAUGCAGUUACGUUUAAAACAGUUGAUUCCCGCCGCAACACGCUGGCGUAUUUUCUAUAUAGACUAAGAUUUGAUAGAUGAACAUGUUCAAAGGGAAAUCAAGCAUCCGAAUAUCAUUCGAUCCAAAGAGUUACGUCUAAAACAGUUGAUUCCCGCCGCAACAUGCGGGCAUAUUUUCUAUAUAGACUAAGAUUUGGUAAUAUAUGGAGAUAGAUGAACAUGUUCAAAGGGAAAUCAAGCAUCCGAAUAUCAUUCGAUCCAAAGAGAUCCAGAUGGAUGAACAUGUUCAAAGGGAAAUCAUAAACCAUAAAUCACUGAUGAAUCCGAAUAUCAUUCGAUUCAAAGAGUUACUUUUCAGCAUCUGACAACACUGAUAUAGCAUUUGAUGUACACUUCACUUUUGAAACCCAAUCGGAAUUAUGUUCCGGUCAAUAUUGAGGAUCCAGGUAGCUCGAGGUCUCUCUUUUCUAUCUUUCCCCCUCCCUAUAUCCCUCCCUAUAUGUAGUUUAAUAUAAUUGAACAGCUCUAUUUAUUUAAGAUUUAGUUGCGUUCAUCAUAACUGAAAUUUGUUGCAAGAAAUUGGGGGAUGAAUUUAGUUUCGGGGGAAUGUUAUUUAUUCUUAUACUGCACAGAAAAAAAAGAAGCAAUGCAUUGGGUGCAAGUGUGUGUUUUUUAUCAUUUAUUUUUGUAGUUUGAAAGUCAAUUGUGUUUUUGUUGCCGCAUCAUAUAAUUAUUCAAAAUGCCCUUUUUAGCAUUUCAAUACCA
Long non-coding RNA from Pyrus x bretschneideri (Chinese white pear), 1839 nucleotides. RefSeq lists it as uncharacterized. The transcript has 10 exons. Lineage: Eukaryota; Viridiplantae; Streptophyta; Magnoliopsida; Rosales; Rosaceae. The record is from RefSeq and is a predicted model, not a curated record.